GACGAACGCUGGCGGCGCGCCUAACACAUGCAAGUCGAACGGAGCUGAGAGAAGCUUGCUUUUCUUAGCUUAGUGGCGAACGGGUGAGUAACGCGUGAGUAACCUGCCCUGGAGUGGGGGACAACAGUUGGAAACGACUGCUAAUACCGCAUAAGCCCACGAUCCGGCAUCGGAUUGAGGGAAAAGGAUUUAUUCGCUUCAGGAUGGACUCGCGUCCAAUUAGCUAGUUGGUGAGGUAACGGCCCACCAAGGCGACGAUUGGUAGCCGGACUGAGAGGUUGAACGGCCACAUUGGGACUGAGACACGGCCCAGACUCCUGCGGGAGGCAGCAGUGGGGGAUAUUGCACAAUGGGGGAAACCCUGAUGCAGCGACGCCGCGUGGAGGAAGAAGGUUUUCGGAUUGUAAACUCCUGUCGUUAGGGACGAUAAUGGCGGUACCUAACAAGAAAGCACCGGCUAACUACGU
Molecule: ribosomal RNA, 467 nt
Filed under: uncultured bacterium
Lineage: Bacteria
Description: partial 16S ribosomal RNA
Rfam family: Bacterial small subunit ribosomal RNA
Source: RNAcentral